RNAcentral lists this ribosomal RNA (460 nucleotides) under uncultured bacterium. RNAcentral describes it as "partial 16S ribosomal RNA". It matches the Rfam family "Bacterial small subunit ribosomal RNA", at positions 338 to 795 of the family's 1533-position model. The record is from RNAcentral.
CCUACGGGAGGCAGCAGUGAGGAAUAUUGGUCAAUGGGCUUACGCCUGAACCAGCCAAGUCGCGUGAGGGAAGACUGCCCUAUGGGUUGUAAACCUCUUUUGUCAGGGAGCAAUUGGCGCUACGUGUAGCGUUAUCGAGAGUACCUGAAGAAAAAGCAUCGGCUACCUCCGUGCCAGCAGCCGCGGUAAUACGUAGGAUGCGAGCGUUAUCCGGUUUUAUUGGGUUUAAAGGGUGCGUAGGCGGAAUGCCAAGUCAGCGGGAAAAUCGCGGGGCUAAACCUCGCAUCGCCGUUGAUACUGGCGUGCUUGAGUGGGCGAGAGGUAUGCGGAAUGCGUGGUGUAGCGGUGAAAUGCAUAGAUAUCACGCAGAACUCCGAUUGCGAAGGCAGCAUACCGGCGCCCAACUGACGCUGAAGCACGAAAGCGUGGGUAUCGAACAGGAUUAGAUACCCCAGUAGUC